Molecule: non-coding RNA, 65 nt
Organism: Podarcis lilfordi (Lilford's wall lizard)
Lineage: Eukaryota; Metazoa; Chordata; Lepidosauria; Squamata; Lacertidae
Source: the annotation of a GenBank genome assembly
GUGUGGCUUGGCGGCAGAGCACCUGCUUUACAUGCAGGUUCCAGGUUCAAGUCCUGGCAUCUCCA